Molecule: transfer RNA, 75 nt
Filed under: Candidatus Peribacteria bacterium
Lineage: Bacteria; Candidatus Peregrinibacteriota; Candidatus Peribacteria
Description: tRNA-Cys
Rfam family: tRNA
About the family: Transfer RNA (tRNA) molecules are approximately 80 nucleotides in length. Their secondary structure includes four short double-helical elements and three loops (D, anti-codon, and T loops).
Source: RNAcentral
GGUGUCAUGGCAGAGGGGUUCAUGCAGGGGUCUGCAACACCCCGUACGGUGGUUCAAGUCCACUUGGCACCUCCA